This is a small nuclear RNA of Hippopotamus amphibius kiboko, 108 nucleotides long. The record is from RefSeq and is a predicted model, not a curated record. Lineage: Eukaryota; Metazoa; Chordata; Mammalia; Artiodactyla; Hippopotamidae.
GCUGCCCGCUUCGGCACCACAUACACUAAAACCGGAGCAACACAGAGAAGACCAGCACGGCCCCCGCGCCAGGAUGACACGCGAACGUGUGAAGCGUUCCGUACGUUU